CCUACGGGAGGCAGCAGUGAGGAAUAUUGGUCAAUGGGCGGGAGCCUGAACCAGCCAAGUCGCGUGAGGGAAGACGGUCCUAUGGAUUGUAAACCUCUUUAGGCGGGGAGCAAUGCCGGGCACGUGUGCCCGGAGGGAGAGUACCCGCAGAAUAAGCAUCGGCUAACGCCGUGCCAGCAGCCGCGGUAAUACGGAGGAUGCGAGCGUUAUCCGGAUUUAUGGGGUUUAAAGGGUGCGUAGGCGGAUUUUUAAGUCAGCGGUAAAAUGUCCGGGCUCAACCCGGGCCGGCCGUUGAAACUGGGGAUCUUGAGUGGGCGAGAAGUAUGCGGAAUGCGUGGUGUAGCGGUGAAAUGCAUAGAUAUCACGCAGAACUCAGAUUGCGAAGGCAGCAUACCGGAGCCCGACUGACGCUGAGGCACGAAAGCGUGGGGAUCGAACAGGAUUAGAUACCCGAGUAGUC
This 460-nucleotide ribosomal RNA is filed under the name uncultured bacterium. Its description in RNAcentral is "partial 16S ribosomal RNA". It matches the Rfam family "Bacterial small subunit ribosomal RNA", at positions 338 to 795 of the family's 1533-position model. The record is from RNAcentral.